AGAGUUUGAUUCUGGCUCAGAACGAACGCUGGCAGCGUGGAUUAGGCAUGCAAGUCGAACGGGAAGCCUCUUUUUCAACCUUCGGGGAGAAAUCGAGGUGGAGAGUGGCGAAAGGGUGAGUAACGCGUGGAUAAGCUACCCCUAAGUUGGGGACAACAUCGGGAAACCGGUGCUAAUACCGAAUGUGGUACUGUGUCGCAUGGCACGGCUACUAAAGGUGGGGACCUUCGGGCCUGCCGCUUGGGGAGGCAUCCGCGUGCCAUCAGCUUGUUGGUAGGGUAAUGGCCUACCAAGGCUUACGGCUAGCUGGUCUGAGAGGAUGAUCAGCCACACUGGGACUGAGACACUGCCCAGACUCCUACGGGAGGCUGCAGUCGAGGAUCAUUCGCAAUGCGCGAAAGCGUGACGAUGCGACGCUGCGUGGAGGAUGACGGCCUUCGGGUUGUAAACUCCUGUCAUGAAGGAAAAGACGCUCUGUUCUUAAUACGAACGGAGCCCGAUGGUACUUCAAGAGGAAGCCACGGCUAACUCUGUGCCAGCAGCCGCGGUAAUACAGAGGUGGCGAGCGUUGUUCGGAUUUACUGGGCGUAAAGCGUACGUAGGCGGCUCGGUAUGUCGGAUGCGAAAGCCCGGGGCCCAACCCCGGAAGUGCAUCCGAAACUGCCGAGCUAGAGUACAGGAGGGGAGAGCGGAAUUCAUGGUGUAGCGGUGAAAUGCGUUGAUAUCAUGAAGAACACCGGUGGCGAAGGCGGCUCUCUGGAAUGUAACUGACGCUGAGGUACGAAAGCGUGGGUAGCAAACAGGAUUAGAUACCCUGGUAGUCCACGCCGUAAACGGUGCGCACUUGGUGUGGGAGGUAUUGACCCCUCCCGUGCCGGAGCUAACGUGUUAAGUGCGCCGCCUGGGAAGUACGGUCGCAAGAUUAAAACUCAAAGAAAUUGACGGGGCCCCGCACAAGCGGAGGAGCAUGUGGCUUAAUUCGAUGCAACGCGAAGAACCUUACCUGGGCUUGACAUGUAACUGCACGCCUCCUGAAAGGGAGGAAGCCUUCGAGGGUGUUACACAGGUGCUGCAUGGCUGUCGUCAGUUCGUGCCGUGAGGUGUUGGGUUAAGUCCCGCAACGAACGCAUCCCCUGUGUUUAGUUGCCAGCAGGUAAAGCUGGGCACUCUAAACAGACUGCCCGUACAAGCGGGAGGAAGGUGGGGACGACGUCAAGUCAGC
RNAcentral lists this ribosomal RNA (1222 nucleotides) under metagenome. RNAcentral describes it as "bacterial SSU rRNA". It matches the Rfam family "Bacterial small subunit ribosomal RNA", at positions 8 to 1194 of the family's 1533-position model. The record is from RNAcentral.